AGUCUGGUGCCAGCAGCCGCGGUAAUUCCAGCUCCAAUAGUGUAUAUUAAAGUUGCUGCAGUUAAAAAGCUCGUAGUUGGAUUUCGGAUUAAUGGGAGUUAAGGUCCAUCAAUUUGAUGUGUACCUUAUUCUCGUUUCCUUCCUUUUGAAUACACUCCCUGAAAUUUUUUUCUGGGGAUCAAAGUGUUUCAAAUCUUUUACUGUGAAGAAAUUAGAGUGUUCAAAGCAGGCGUAAUCUAGCCUUUGAAUAUAUUAGCAUGGGAUAAUGAAAUAGGACUUUAGUUCUACUUUCGUUGGUUUCUAGGGCUAAAGUAAUGAUUAAUAGGGAUAGUUGGGGUCACUAGUAUUUAAUUGUCAGAGGUGAAAUUCUAAGAUUUAUUAAAGACUAACUACUGCGAAAGCAUUUGACAAGGAUGUUUUCAUUAAUCAAGAACGAAAGUUGGGGGAUCGAAGAUGAUCAGAUACCGUCGUAGUCUCAACCAUAAACUAUGCCGACCAAGGAUCCGGGGGUGUUAAAUAUGGAUGACUCUCCGGGCACUUAUAGAGAAAUCAUAAGUAUUUGGGCUCCGGGGGGAGUAUGGUCGCAAGGCUGAAACUUAAAGGAAUUGACGGAAGGGCACCACAAGGAGUGGAACCUGCGGUUUAAUUUGACCCAACACGGGGAAACUUACCAGGUCCAGACACAGUGAGGAUUGACAGAUUGAGAGUUCUUUCUUGAUUCUGUGAGUGGUGGUGCAUGGCCGUUUCUAGUUGGUGGAGUGAUUUGUCUGGUUAAUUCCGUUAACGAACGAGACCUUAACCUAUUAAAUAGUUGCUUGAACACAUGAAUAUUUUAUUCUUUGUUCGGUUAACUUCUUAGAGGGACUCUUCACUGAGAGAGUGAAUGGAAGUUUGAGGCAAAAACAGGUCUGUGAUGCCCUUAGAUGUUCUGGGCCACACGCGCGUUACACUGACAUAUUCAACGAGCAUUUUCCUGGCCCGAUGGGGUUGGGUAAUCUUUUAGAUGUAUGUCGUGCUGGGGAUAGAUCAUUGUAAUUAUUGGUCUUGAACGAGGAAUUCCUAGUAAGUGCAAGUCAUCAACUUGCGCUGAUUACGUCCCUGCCCUUUGUACACACCGCCCGUCGCUCCUACCGAUUGAAUGGUCCGGCGAGAACUCAAGAUGGAAAUAGGUUUUGGACACCGUCA
This 1185-nucleotide ribosomal RNA is filed under the name metagenome. RNAcentral's name for it is "SSU rRNA". It matches the Rfam family "Eukaryotic small subunit ribosomal RNA", at positions 558 to 1736 of the family's 1831-position model. The record is from RNAcentral.